GUUUACACUUACAUUUUUAUGUGCUUUCUAGUUUUUCUAUUAAUGGUCCCUUUUACUCUCCUUUCUUGCCCUCUUCAGGACUGAUAUUUUUAUUACUUCAUUUUUGCUCGCUAAACUGGAAGAUAUACACUUUGACUACUCCGUCAGUGCUUGUCCUAAAACCUGCAGCAUGCGUCCUUCGAUUUAUCAAGAAAAUUUACUUGUGAAUAUCACACAACCUGCAAACAUCCAGAGAAAAAUGCCUUUCUCUAGUCACGAGGACAGUGAGUUGCUCUCCAGCAGGAGGCAACACUUUCUGCUUUACGACAUGAUUCUCUAUGUGAUCUGCGGGAUGGUCUUUGUACCCAUUUUCUCCUUCAUGGGGAUUGUUCCUGAGAGCAUUCCCCAAUACACUUCCUGCAUGCAAAUUUCCGAAUCUCAGAGUCUGUUUGCUAGGACCCCGAACUCCAAGGGAUAAUGGGAAUAAUACUUCUUUUUGUAAAGGAUUCCCCUGAGGACGGCUGGUUGAGAAUAGAAGGAACAUAAAAUGAAAGCAAAAUGAAUAAGAAGUCCUUGCUAUUAGAGUUGGGAAUCAACAAAAAGAAGCGGAUGAGGAGACAGUAUUUAAAACAUCAGUCGUACCAGCUCUCAACCUCACCCCUCGGAGCAUUAUUUUCCCAAGACACUUACUGUAGCCUGAAAUCUCACCAUUGGUUUGGGGUAAAGCCAAAUCCAAGAGAAAAUCAGUGAAAACCUCCUGGUCUUCUAUCUCUUUCUGCUCUGUCAGAAACCCACAGACCUCUAAAAGAAAACAAAGUUUCACAUUGACAGAGCACAUGUUGGAAACACAAUUAACUGUCCUGAGACUCGCCCUAGGGUCCGGAGAGGCUGGGUAGCACAGUGGAGCACAGAUGGGCAUCCUCCACCGGGAAGAUAGGGUGGCUCUCUCAGGCCGAAGCAAGGGGGCUCAGAGGCUACCAGAGUUCAUGUGAUGGGGGAGUAAAAAGGAACUUUUAAUCAGGAGCUGUUUUGUGCACAAAAAUCACACGUCUUCAGGUGCAAAUGAAUCGUGACCUCUACAGCGAGGAAAUUGAAGGCUUUGGGCCAGGAGGGUAAAAAUCCCAUUUUUAGAACUUUUCAGCCAAGGCUACCUUUUGCUGAGAUAACUGCUCAACUCUGCUCCUUCCCUGCUUACAAACCCACAUUUCAAGAUUCUUCCUUCCAUCUCUGGCCCCGGGUGGAAUAAAUCAUCUGAACAACAAAAUAAUCA
Molecule: long non-coding RNA, 1249 nt
Filed under: Ursus maritimus (polar bear)
Lineage: Eukaryota; Metazoa; Chordata; Mammalia; Carnivora; Ursidae
Description: lncRNA (ENSUMAG00000004322.1)
Source: RNAcentral